This 492-nucleotide ribosomal RNA is filed under the name uncultured bacterium. RNAcentral's name for it is "partial 16S ribosomal RNA". It matches the Rfam family "Bacterial small subunit ribosomal RNA", at positions 29 to 507 of the family's 1533-position model. The record is from RNAcentral.
AGUGAACGCUGGCGGUAGGCCUAACACAUGCAAGUCGAACGGCAGCACAGUAAGAGCUUGCUCUUACGGGUGGCGAGUGGCGGACGGGUGGGGAAUACAUCGGAAUCUACUUUUUCGUGGGGGAUAACGUAGGGAAACUUACGCUAAUACCGCAUACGACCUACGGGUGAAAGCAGGGGAGCUUCGGACCUUGCGCGAUUGAAUGAGCCGAUGUCGGAUUAGCUAGGUGGCGGGGUAAAGGUCCACCAAGGCGACGAUCCGUAGCUGGUCUGAGAGGAUGAUGACCCACACGGGAAGUGAGACACGGUCCAGACUCCUAGGGGAGGCAGCAGUUGCGAAGAUUGGACAAUGGGCGGAAGACUGAUCCAGCCAUACAGCGUGGGUGAAGAAGGGCUUCGGGUUGUAAAGCCCUUUUGUUGGGAAAGAAAAGCAGCAGGUUAAUCCCCGGCUGUUCUGACGGUACUCAAAGAAUAAGCACCGGCUAACUUCGUG